Molecule: ribosomal RNA, 497 nt
Filed under: uncultured bacterium
Lineage: Bacteria
Description: partial 16S ribosomal RNA
Rfam family: Bacterial small subunit ribosomal RNA
Source: RNAcentral
GAUGAACGCUGGCGGCGUGCCUAAUACAUGCAAGUCGAGCGAACAGACGAGGAGCUUGCUCCUCUGACGUUAGCGGCGGACGGGUGAGUAACACGUGGAUAACCUACCUAUAAGACUGGGAUAACUUCGGGAAACCGGAGCUAAUACCGGAUAACAUGUUGAACCGCAUGGUUCAACAGUGAAAGACGGUCUUGCUGUCACUUAUAGAUGGAUCCGCGCCGCAUUAGCUAGUUGGUAAGGUAACGGCUUACCAAGGCAACGAUGCGUAGCCGACCUGAGAGAGUGAUCGGCCACACGGGACCUGAGACACGGUCCAGACGCCUACGGGAGGCAGCAGUAGGGAAUCUUCCGCAAUGGGCGAAAGCCUGACGGAGCAACGCCGCGUGAGUGAAGAAGGUCUUCGGAUCGUAAAACUCUGUUAUUAGGGAAGAACAAAUGUGUAAGUAACUAUGCACGUCUUGACGGUACCUAAUCAGAAAGCCACGGCUAACUACGUG